CAGCACCUCAAGUGGUCAGGAUGAUUAUUGGGCCUAAAGCAUCCGUAGCCGGCUCUGUAAGUUUUCGGUUAAAUCUGUACGCUCAACGUACAGGCUGCCGGGAAUACUGCAGAGCUAGGGAAUGGGAGAGGUAGACGGUACUCGGUAGGAAGGGGUAAAAUCCUUUGAUCUAUUGAUGACCACCUGUGGCGAAGGCGGUCUACCAGAACACGUCCGACGGUGAGGGAUGAAAGCUGGGGGAGCAAACCGGAUUAGAUACCCGAGUAGUCC
This 270-nucleotide ribosomal RNA is filed under the name uncultured archaeon. RNAcentral describes it as "partial 16S ribosomal RNA". It matches the Rfam family "Archaeal small subunit ribosomal RNA", at positions 477 to 747 of the family's 1478-position model. The record is from RNAcentral.